AGACUGUAGAUUUGGGCAUUUAUCGGAACAGGAAUGGAUAUACAAAUGUAUAAAUUAAGCGUAUGAAUAUGAGCAAGUAGAAACCUUAGAAUGAUCCUCCCGAAUGGCGAAUUCGAUGACCGUGACCAUGCAAAAUCAUCGUCUUCCUCCUGCUGCUGCGACUACCCCACUGUCAGCCAGCAGCAAGCACACUGUCGCCUUCGCCACGCCUCCAAACUACGCAGCUCGCCUCUCUCACCUCCUCACCCUCAAGGGCUACAUUCCUCUUUGGUGCCCCACUGUUCUUGUCCAUCCGACACCACACCUCCUUCUUCCUUACCUAUCUCCUCCCUUCCUCCAACCCUUCUCCGCCCUUGCCUUCACCUCACGUACAGCUAUCCACUCGUUCUCCGCCGCCGCCGCCCGUCUCAACCACGCUCUUCUUUCCCCUCAAGGCGACACCUUUCUCAUCGCCGCUCUGGGCAAAGACGCGGAGCUCAUCGACAGUGACGUCCUGGCGAAGUUCUGUCACGACCCCAAUCGGAUUAGAGUUUUGGUCCCCCCGACCGCGACACCUAGAGGUCUGGUGGAAUCGCUUGGGGAAGGGAACGGUCGGAAGAUUCUGUGUCUGGUCCCACUCGUGGUGGGUCUGGAAGAGCCUUCCGUGGUCCCUGACUUUCUCCGGGACCUGGAGGCAAAUGGGUGGGCUCCGGUCAGGGUAAACGCUUACGAGACGCGCUGGGCGGGGCCGGAGUGCGCGAGGGAGGUGGUGGAGAGGUGCGAGAGUGGGGCAUUGGGUGCGCUCGUGUUCACGAGCACGGCCGAGGUGGAGGGUUUGCUGAAGAGCCUGAGGGAGUUUGGGUGGACGAACUUGGGAGAACUGGUGAGGGAAAGGUGUCCGGAGAUGGUGUUGGCGGCGCACGGUCCCGUCACGGCGGCAGGGGCGGAGCGGUUGGGGUGAAGGUUGAUGUGGUGAGCUCCAGGUUUGACAGUUUUGAUGGUGUUGUUGAUGCUCUUGGAUUGAGAUAAAUGACCGAAGGCGUUCGGAAUUAUAGAUCAAGUUUGUAUCUUAACUUCGUUUUCCUUUGGUGUCCCAAAAAUCGAGUGUUUAAAGAUGACCAAUUCUAAGAAACAGAUCAGAGCAAGAUGGUUUCAGGACUGCUUUUCUGGUUUAUGACUACUGAGUUCAUACACAGACAUUACCAAAUUGUUGGAGCAAUCGGAGUGAUGUUACUAUCUUGUGGCCUCUGCCCAGAUAGCAGCUUCAGUGCCUCUUCCAUGGAUGGCCGAUCACAGGUCCUACUCCUAGUACAGAGCAAAGCAACUUCAAGAACCAAUUUGAUCUCCUCUUGCACAGAGGUUCUAGGAUCAACUUCAUUCUCAUUGUAAAUUUCUCUCAAAACCACCUCCGUUGGCUUGCUAUGUAUGCUUGUUCCUGCAUUUGUCAACUUGCCAUUGGUUAAAAUUUCCAGAACGAGCUCUCCAAAGUUGUAAACGUCCAUGUAAAGCUCGUCUUUUAUGGCUCUGUUGAAUUCACCUGUGCAAAGAUACAGAAAAUAAACCUCAAAAGGACUGCUUCUAGCUCCUGAGUAGAGACUGAGAAUAUAUAAAGCUAAUAGAUGCCGUGUCCAGAUGUCUUCAUUGUCUCUGUAGGCAAAAUAGACUGGUUUUGAUGUCCUCUUUGAAAAAAGUAGAACUAAUUUGCUGUUCCUGAUUGUAUGCUAUGAUUGCAAAGGAAUACUAUUGGGGAUACUCUUUGACUUAAUAAGCAGAAACGUUCUUGAU
Juglans microcarpa x Juglans regia is the source of this 1764-nucleotide RNA transcript. RefSeq lists it as uncharacterized. The transcript is spliced from 3 exons. The record is from RefSeq and is a predicted model, not a curated record. Lineage: Eukaryota; Viridiplantae; Streptophyta; Magnoliopsida; Fagales; Juglandaceae.